GACGAACGCUGGCGGCGUGCUUAACACAUGCAAGUCGAACGGAAAGGCCCUGCUUUUGUGGGGUUCUCGAGUGGCGAACGGGUGAGUAACACGUGAGUAACCUGCCCUUGACUUUGGGAUAACUUCAGGAAACUGGGGCUAAUACCGGAUAGGAGCUCCUGCUGCAUGGUGGGGGUUGGAAAGUUUCGGCGGUAGGGGAUGGACGCGCGGCUUAUCAGCUUGCUGGUGGGGUAGUGGUUUACCAAGGCUUUGACGGGUAGCCGGCCUGAGAGGGUGACCGGCCACAUUGGGACUGAGAUACGGCCCAGACUCGUACGGGAGGCAGCAGUGGGGAAUAUUGCACAAUGGGCGGAAGCCUGAUGCAGCAACGCCGCGUGCGGGAUGACGGCCUUCGGGUUGUAAACCGCUUUCGCCUGUGACGAAGCGUGAGUGACGGUAAUGGGUAAAGAAGCACCGGCUAACUACGUG
This 468-nucleotide ribosomal RNA is filed under the name uncultured bacterium. RNAcentral describes it as "partial 16S ribosomal RNA". It matches the Rfam family "Bacterial small subunit ribosomal RNA", at positions 28 to 507 of the family's 1533-position model. The record is from RNAcentral.